Molecule: ribosomal RNA, 997 nt
Filed under: Microbacterium azadirachtae
Lineage: Bacteria; Bacillati; Actinomycetota; Actinomycetes; Micrococcales; Microbacteriaceae
Description: bacterial SSU rRNA
Rfam family: Bacterial small subunit ribosomal RNA
Source: RNAcentral
AUGACGCGGCGGCGUGCUUAACACUUGCAAGUCGAACGAUGAACCCGAAGCUUGCUUGGGGGAUUAGUGGCGAACGGGUGAGUAACACGUGAGCAACUGCCCCUCACUCUGGGAUAAGCGCUGGAAACGGCGUCUAAUACUGGAUACGAGAUGCGACCGCAUGGUCAGUGUCUGGAAAGAUUUUUUGGUGGGGGAUGGGCUCGCGGCCUAUCAGCUUGUUGGUGAGGUAAUGGCUCACCAAGGCGUCGACGGGUAGCCGGCCUGAGAGGGUGACCGGCCACACUGGGACUGAGACACGGCCCAGACUCCUACGGGAGGCAGCAGUGGGGAAUAUUGCACAAUGGGCGGAAGCCUGAUGCAGCAACGCCGCGUGAGGGAUGACGGCCUUCGGGUUGUAAACCUCUUUUAGCAGGGAAGAAGCGAAAGUGACGGUACCUGCAGAAAAAGCACCGGCUAACUACGUGCCAGCAGCCGCGGUAAUACGUAGGGUGCAAGCGUUAUCCGGAAUUAUUGGGCGUAAAGAGCUCGUAGGCGGUUUGUCGCGUCUGCUGUGAAAUCCCGAGGCUCAACCUCGGGCCUGCAGUGGGUACGGGCAGACUAGAGUGCGGUAGGGGAGAUUGGAAUUCCUGGUGUAGCGGUGGAAUGCGCAGAUAUCAGGAGGAACACCGAUGGCGAAGGCAGAUCUCUGGGCCGUAACUGACGCUGAGGAGCGAAAGGGUGGGGAGCAAACAGGCUUAGAUACCCUGGUAGUCCACCCCGUAAACGUUGGGAACUAGUUGUGGGGUCCUUUCCACGGAUUCCGUGACGCAGCUAACGCAUUAAGUUCCCCGCCUGGGGAGUACGGCCGCAAGGCUAAAACUCAAAGGAAUUGACGGGGACCCGCACAAGCGGCGGAGCAUGCGGAUUAAUUCGAUGCAACGCGAAGAACCUUACCAAGGCUUGACAUACACGAGAACGGGCCAGAAAUGGUCAACUCUUUGGACACUCGUGAACAGGU